RNAcentral lists this small RNA (645 nucleotides) under Pan troglodytes (chimpanzee). RNAcentral's name for it is "processed transcript". Lineage: Eukaryota; Metazoa; Chordata; Mammalia; Primates; Hominidae. The record is from RNAcentral.
GCUGGUGACGUAGUGAGUGUGAUGGCCGCCGCGAGGCCGGGAAGGUGAAGUCAGGACUGGUGGAGUCAACACAGUCAAUCAAUAGCCAACCUCAACCUGAGACAGGACAGAAGAGAACUCAGAAUCUUUUUGUCUUUUGGACUUCAGCCAUGUCCAUGAUGCCUGCCCUGUGAAGAUCUCUCACCAUCCAAAAAACGCAAUGUCCCUGCUCUUCUCUCGAUGCAACUCUAUCGUCACAGUCAAGAAAGAUAAGAGACACAUGGCUGAGGUGAAUGCAUCCCCACUUAAGCACUUUGUCACUGCCAAGAAGAAGAUCAAUGGCAUUUUUGAGCAGCUGGGGGCCUACAUCCAGGAGAGCGCCACCUUCCUUGAAGGAAACUAAGACCCAGAAAGGUUCUUUUGCUUGAGGCCACAGAGCUAGAAAGUGGUAAGAACCAGCUUCAAAAACAGGCAGUGUUGCUCCUGAGCCAUCUUCUUAACCCCCACACUGUGGGGCCACCAUAGAGGAUCUGGAGCUCAGCCUGUCGGCUGCGGGGUGCCAGAGGUGGACUCGUUUAGGACACGUACAGGAAUGCAGAACUGGACCCCGUUACCACAGAAGAACAGGUUCUGGACGUCAAAGGUUACCUAUCCAAAGUGAGAGGC